RNAcentral lists this unclassified non-coding RNA (482 nucleotides) under Hevea brasiliensis (rubber tree). The record is from RNAcentral. Lineage: Eukaryota; Viridiplantae; Streptophyta; Magnoliopsida; Malpighiales; Euphorbiaceae.
AAGGAAUCCAGAAACCACUGAAGUAACUGCACCAAGUAUAAAUGAUACAGUGCUGAAUAUAGCCGUCGCCAAAGCUGGCUUGCAAGUCUUUGUUUUGUCAUAUGAGCACGCUUGGGGCUUGGUACUAAAACCCUCCACUGACCCAAGGAAUACAAAAAUCAAGACUGCAAACAAUACCAUAAAUAUGCCAACAUAGUAGUACUCCGUGAAAAGGAAGGAGGUUGCCCCCUCAGAGAUGGCGUUCUGAAUUUCGGCACAUUUAAUAACAACGUUAUGGUCGUUGACACCUUCUUCCUCCUCAAUAAGGUAGUCGGAGUAGCCAUUUUUAGCAGCGGCGGAGUUGUUAUUAGAGGAAUCUCGGGAAGAAGAGAGCUUAACUUGUGAAACGUAGUACCACUGCACCAAAGAGAAGAGGAUACCGACUAGAGCACAAAGGGGAAUGAAAAUCUGAGCCCCGAGAUCUGGAAGAAUGGUGACGCCCA